UGGGGAAUUUUGGACAAUGGGCGAAAGCCUGAUCCAGCAAUGCCGCGUGUGUGAAGAAGGCCUUCGGGUUGUAAAGCACUUUUGUCCGGAAAGAAAUCCUUGGCUCUAAUACAGUCGGGGGAUGACGGUACCGGAAGAAUAAGCACCGGCUAACUACGUGCCAGCAGCCGCGGUAAUACGUAGGGUGCAAGCGUUAAUCGGAAUUACUGGGCGUAAAGCGUGCGCAGGCGGUUUGCUAAGACCGAUGUGAAAUCCCCGGGCUCAACCUGGGAACUGCAUUGGUGACUGGCAGGCUAGAGUAUGGCAGAGGGGGGUAGAAUUCCACGUGUAGCAGUGAAAUGCGUAGAGAUGUGGAGGAAUACCGAUGGCGAAGGCAGCCCCCUGGGCCAAUACUGACGCUCAUGCACGAAAGCGUGGGGAGCAAACAGGAUUCAGAUACCCUGGUAGUCCACGCCCUAAACGAUGUCAACUAGUUGUUGGGAUUCAUUUCCUUAGUAACGUAGCUAACGCGUGAAGUUGACCGCCUGGGGAGUACGGUCGCAAGAUU
This 547-nucleotide ribosomal RNA is filed under the name uncultured bacterium. Its description in RNAcentral is "partial 16S ribosomal RNA". It matches the Rfam family "Bacterial small subunit ribosomal RNA", at positions 355 to 895 of the family's 1533-position model. The record is from RNAcentral.